This 558-nucleotide ribosomal RNA is filed under the name Sclerococcum parasiticum. Its description in RNAcentral is "eukaryotic LSU rRNA". It matches the Rfam family "Eukaryotic large subunit ribosomal RNA", at positions 111 to 689 of the family's 3401-position model. The record is from RNAcentral. Lineage: Eukaryota; Fungi; Ascomycota; Eurotiomycetes; Sclerococcales; Dactylosporaceae.
AAAUUUGAAAUCUGACCUUUNGGGUCCGAGUUGUAAUUUGUAGAGGAUGUUUCGGGUAAGAUCCAGGCCUAAGUUCCUUGGAACAGGACGUCAUAGAGGGUGAGAAUCCCGUACGUGGCUCAUGAUCGCACCCAUGUGAAACUCCUUCGACGAGUCGAGUUGUUUGGGAAUGCAGCUCAAAAUGGGAGGUAAAUUCCUUUUAAAGCUAAAUAUUGGCCAGAGACCGAUAGCGCACAAGUAGAGUGAUCGAAAGAUGAAAAGCACUUUGAAAAGAGAGUUAAAAAGCAUGUGAAAUUGUUGAAAGGGAAGCGCUUGCAGCCAGACUUGUUUAUAGGGUUCAGCCGUCGUUCUCGUCGGUGUAUUUCUCUAUUAUCAGGCCAGCAUCAGUUUAAGUGGAAGGUCAAAGGCCUUGGGAAUGUAUCUUCCUCCGGGAUGACUUAUAACCCUUGGUGUAAUGCUUCCUACCUAGACUGAGGCACGCGUUCGCUAGGAUGCUGGCGUAAUGGCUGUAAGCGACCCGUCUUGAAACACGGACCAAGGAGUCUAACUUCUAUGCUA